Bubalus bubalis (water buffalo) is the source of this 1098-nucleotide long non-coding RNA. RefSeq lists it as uncharacterized. The record is from RefSeq and is a predicted model, not a curated record. NCBI's taxonomy places the organism in Eukaryota, Metazoa, Chordata, Mammalia, Artiodactyla, Bovidae. The transcript has 3 exons.
AAUUUUCUCUAGCACCACAACUCAAAAGCAUCAAUUCGUCAAAGAAAGCACUCAGCCUUCUUUAUGGUCCAUCUCUCACAUCCAUGAUCUUGAGCCUCUUUAUAUCCUCAUUGUAAUACAUUAGCAUCUGAAUGACCCACCCACAGGUGACAGUCCUGAGCUAACCAUAACAGGCCAAAAAGUGGGCGGUGGCCCAUUUCUGCAAAUCCCCACCCCUUCCCCCCAGAUAGCUGGACUACUCCUCCCACUCAUUAGCCUAUGAAAUUACCCACCUUUAUAAAAACUGACAACCCCAUACCCUGGUACCUCUCGCCCACACUCUGUGGAGUCUUUCUCUCUAAAUAAAUCCACUUCUUGCCUAUCAGUCUCUCACUGCAUUAUUUCUGUGAUGAGACAUCAAGAACCUGAGCUUUGUUAAGGCCUGAGACCAGAAAAAGCCCUAUGAUCAAGACCAACAAUGUGCUUUCCCUUCUCUCCAGACCUGUUCCAGGUGCUGCCGAAAAGAUAAGUUGUGGCAUGUGGGAUCAAAUCCAGGCCCUUCCAUUGCAAGCUCAGCCCUUGGACCAUCAGGGAAGUCCCAAGAAUGCUGACUUUUAAAUACUAAAUAUUGGUAGCAUUAUCUCUCAAUUUUUAAGAUGAUUUUUUGGGGGCAUUUAUUUUGUGUUAACCUUUUAGAGUGUCAUUCAGUGUCUUCUAUUAUCAAAUGUCUGUAUCAGAUAGAGAUCAUGUUAACAUGUUAUUGACAUACAUAAUCUUGUCACAAUAUGUUGGUUCAUAAUAAUAAUAAAUGUGCAUUUAUUAUUACAUUGCUUUUUUGUAGCAAGCCUCUGAAAUGUUUAGUAUAACCUUAUUACAGAGAACUGAUUAUUAUUAAGAUCACUCACUGUUAUUUAAAACAUGUAAAUAAAGUGUUAUGAAAAAUACAGAACAGUAUAUAACCUCAAGAAUUCCUGGGGAUUUUUAUUUCUUAUUCCCAGAUCCAGAAGGUUGUAAGUUGAUAAUUUUUGAAGCUGUUCAUAUCAUGAAGGGGUUCCUAAUGCUGCUAUAUGUUGUCAUAUGUGUUUAAAGUUUUCUGUAAUAAAAAGUAAAACAAAACUG